GAUGAACGCUGGCGGCGUGCCUAAUACAUGCAAGUCGAGCGAACGGACGAGAAGCUUGCUUCUCUGAUGUUAGCGGCGGACGGGUGAGUAGCACGUGGAUAACCUACCUAUAAGACUGGGAUAACUUCGGGAAACCGGAGCUAAUACCGGAUAAUAUUUUGAACCGCAUGGUUCAAAAGUGAAAGACGGUCUUGCUGUCACUUAUAGAUGGAUCCGCGCUGCAUUAGCUAGUUGGUAAGGUAGCGGCUUACCAAGGCAACGAUGCAUAGCCGGCCUGAGAGGGUGAUCGGCCACACUGGAACUGAGACACGGUCCAGACUCCUACGGGAGGCAGCAGUAGGGAAUCUUCCGCAAUGGGCGAAAGCCUGACGGGGCAACGCCGCGUGAGUGAUGAAGGUCUUCGGAUCGUAAAACUCUGUUAUUAGGGAAGAACAUAUGUGUAAGUAACUGUGCACAUCUUGACGGUACCUAAUCAGAAAGCCGCGGCUAACUACGUG
RNAcentral lists this ribosomal RNA (497 nucleotides) under uncultured bacterium. Its description in RNAcentral is "partial 16S ribosomal RNA". It matches the Rfam family "Bacterial small subunit ribosomal RNA", at positions 28 to 507 of the family's 1533-position model. The record is from RNAcentral.